CCUACGUGAGGCAGCAGUGAGGAAUAUUGGGCAAUGGGCGCGAGCCUGAACCAGCCAAGUAGCGUGAAGGAUGACUGCCCUACGGGUUGUAAACUUCUUGUAUAAAGGAAUAAAGUGAGGCACGUGUGCCUUUUUUGAUGUACUUUAUGAAUAAGGACCGGCUAACUCCGUGACAGCAGCCGCGGUAAUACGGAGGAUACGAGCGUUAUCCGGAUUUAUCGGGUUGAAAGGGAGCGUCGAUGGGUUGUUAAGUCAGUUGUGAAAGUUUGCUGCUCAACGGUAAAAUUGCAAUUGAAACUGGCAGCCUUGAGUACAGUUGAGGUAGGCAGAAUUCGUGGUGUAGCGGUGAAAUGCUUAGAUAUCACGAAGAACUCCGAUUGCGAAGGCAGCCUACUAAACUGCCACUGACAUUGAUGCUCGAAAGUGUGGGUAUCAAACAGGAUUAGAUACCCUUGUAGUC
This 460-nucleotide ribosomal RNA is filed under the name uncultured bacterium. RNAcentral's name for it is "partial 16S ribosomal RNA". It matches the Rfam family "Bacterial small subunit ribosomal RNA", at positions 338 to 795 of the family's 1533-position model. The record is from RNAcentral.